UUGGGGGAUAGCUCAGUGGUAGAGUGCUUACCUAGCACGCCUGAGGCCCUGGGUUCCAUUCCUAGCACUAAA
RNAcentral lists this transfer RNA (72 nucleotides) under Marmota monax (woodchuck). RNAcentral's name for it is "tRNA.Ala". Lineage: Eukaryota; Metazoa; Chordata; Mammalia; Rodentia; Sciuridae. The record is from RNAcentral.